Long non-coding RNA from Suricata suricatta (meerkat), 1260 nucleotides. RefSeq lists it as uncharacterized. The transcript is spliced from 8 exons. The record is from RefSeq and is a predicted model, not a curated record. NCBI's taxonomy places the organism in Eukaryota, Metazoa, Chordata, Mammalia, Carnivora, Herpestidae.
GACACACACAGAGUAGGUCCUACCUGAGCCUGCCCUGUGGCUGUCUGAACUCAUACAGAAUGACCAAGUUUGGAAAGACAUAUUUAAAAUAUUUCUUCCAUCUCCCCCUCCUUUUGUGAAAGAUAGCUGUAUGCAUUUGGCCCAAGGCCUGUUACAGUUUCUCUGAACGUUCAAGAACACAGACGUAGGAACUGCAUAAAAAGGAGGAGCUCUCCCACCCUCGUCGGAGUGAACUGCCUGCCGUCUGACAGCAAACCUUUUGGGAAAGAGCCAGCCUUGUCACCGUGCUUGAAGGCUUUUCAGGGCAUAGAGAGGACACUGUGCGGCUUGGCAGGCUUCUUCCGACUCCGGUCUGGUGUACGGGUUGCACUCGGUCUCUCUGGCUGUUUUGUGUGUUCCCAUCUGACAGCUCACACUUCUCCGCCGUGUGCCUUGGCCACAGGACACAGAGCACUAAGAAGAAAGACUGUAGGAUCAACUCUCAUUUUCCCAGCCCGUUGGGAAGGAGGUGAAAAAGCCAUGUUAGAAACUGAAAGGUAAGCUAGCAGGAAAUGGAAACAAUGCUGGUUUCAUUUGAGCUCCACCUUAUGAGAGUAUUAUGAUUUGGAGUUGUCAUUCUGGAAAUCAUAAUAGACCAUACAGUGUGGAAGAAAGGAGCCCGAUUUGAAUAUUCAGACCCAAACAAAAUUACCUGUCUUUCAACCUACGGCGCUUUGAUAGAUGAGUGCUCUGAAGUGCUCGAAGGCUGACACGGUUGCAGGAGGGAUCCCAAAGCUUCCGCCAGGGCCAGACCGUGCAGAGCUCACGGGCAUAAUAGUACAUUUGGAUUUGGGCCCGGAGAUGCAUCAUCUCAAAUGUUCUCUGACUCACCAUCCUCAGAGUUGAGCCGGCACUUCUGAAGCUCCCAAACCAGAACCAAGUCUUAUCAUUCACAAGCCACAUGGACAGAGGAAUACAGGGAUUGGAUGGUGAGGGGUGAUGAAAGGAACAGAAUAUAAGGCCAGAAACCAGAUGACUGUCCUACCAAUGGGAACAGAGGAAACUCAGCAUCACUCAAGGAAGAGCUUGGUUUUAGCUCAAGAACCAGUUUGGAAGGGCUCAGUGAAGAUGAAAAGCUGCGUUCCUGAUACUUCCUUCAAAGAGGGAAUGAUCUCUUGGAAUUCCAGCUUCUACAAGGUGACUACCUGGUGGUUUCCAUUUUUGCCUUCUUCUAAAAAGCAUCAAUAAAGCCUUGCCCUUUCGGCCCACUGAACACAUAAA